This 86-nucleotide transfer RNA is filed under the name Puccinia triticina 1-1 BBBD Race 1. RNAcentral describes it as "tRNA-Und (NNN) (tRNA-Und-NNN-54-1)". The record is from RNAcentral. Lineage: Eukaryota; Fungi; Basidiomycota; Pucciniomycetes; Pucciniales; Pucciniaceae.
GCGUCUGUAGCCUAGUUGGUAAAGGCAGCACUUUAGUAUGUGUCUCAGAAUAGCUGAGGUCGUGAGUUUGGCUCUCACCAGACACA